ACCUCGCGUGCAACCAGCCUUUGGAACUCCUUUUCAGCCCUCCUACACUCUAUCUUUGCUUGGUUUCUGGCUCCCGGGCAAGUCCCAUAUCACAGAGAGAGCGGGAUUUCUUAGUUUAUUUGAUUGGAGAGGAGAGAAUAUUGAAAAAUAAAAGUACUUGUGGGAAGCUUGUUGCACUAAAGAAACAAGCAUGGAUACGCAUUACAAGUUUCAAUGCUGAGGGAUAUGGACCUCGGCGAUCAGUAGAACAGCUGAAGUGGAUGUGUACCCAUCAAUCAAUUUCAUUGAUGAGUACCACAAUUACUUUGCUGAAAGCAUGCCUUCUACAAAUCCAGGGCAAGAUUUGUGCUUCACAAAUCCUGUACCAGAGCGAGCCUCCAGCAGAGGCGAUGACCCAAAUUUACAACCUAGCCCCUCAACCUCCUCCCAGAAUAAUAAAGAGAAAACAUCAUUAUUUGAUGAAAAACGGUAUAACCGACCAAACAGGAAAAAUAUAACCAUUGAAGAGGAAGAAAAUAAUAAAUUAUUUUGGAGCACACGGCAGCAAUUGUUAGAUAAACAAUUGGAAGAAACAAUGAUCAACAUUCAACUUGCAAAUAAUCAAAAGUUGCAUAAGAUUUGGAGAUUCAGCUUUUGUCAAAAUAAAGAUUCAAGUUGAACAAAAGAAGUUAGAAAUGAUGGAAAAAAAUUCUGCACAAUACAAUGAGUUAACCCUGGGAAAUUGAACAGCACCAUCACAACUGAAAAUGAUACUGCAGGCUGAGACAAAUAGCUGCCAUUCUAGAACUUAAUUCCAAUGAACACUAUAACACCACUACCACAGCACCACCACCACAUAUGGACAACUCCAUUAUCGGGUUCCUUCGACUUGAGGCAGCGAACACUCCUCGGGGUCAGAGAACAGGUCGAAGGGGGAGUCACGGACGAGUUCGGACUCUCCAAGUCCCCUUUGAU
Molecule: long non-coding RNA, 954 nt
Organism: Homarus americanus (American lobster)
Lineage: Eukaryota; Metazoa; Arthropoda; Malacostraca; Decapoda; Nephropidae
Exons: 3
Source: RefSeq, a predicted model, not a curated record